RNAcentral lists this ribosomal RNA (497 nucleotides) under uncultured bacterium. Its description in RNAcentral is "partial 16S ribosomal RNA". It matches the Rfam family "Bacterial small subunit ribosomal RNA", at positions 28 to 507 of the family's 1533-position model. The record is from RNAcentral.
GAUGAACGCUGGCGGCGUGCCUAAUACAUGCAAGUCGAGCGAACAGAUGAGGAGCUUGCUCCUCUGACGUUAGCGGCGGACGGGUGAGUAACACGUGGAUAACCUACCUAUAAGACUGGGAUAACUUCGGGAAACCGGAGCUAAUACCGGAUAAUAUAUUGAACCGCAGGGUUCAAUAGUGAAAGACGGUUUUGCUGUCACUUAUAGAUGGAUCCGCGCCGCAUUAGCUAGUUGGUAAGGUAACGGCUUACCAAGGCAACGAUGCGUAGCCGACCUGAGGGGGUGAUCGGCCACACUAGAACUGAGACGCGGUCCAGACUCCUACGGGAGGCAGCAGUAGGGAAUCUUCCGCAGUGGGCGGAAGCUUGACGGAGCAACCCCGCGUGUGUUAUGAAGGUCUUCGGAUCGUAAAACUCUGUUAUUAGGGAAGAACAAAUGUGUAAGUAACUAUGCACGUCUUGACGGUACCUGAUCAGAAAGCCACGGCUAACUACGUG